UCGAGCGGCAGCACGGGUAACUUCGGUUCCCUGGUGGCGAGCGGCGGACGGGUGAGUAACGCGUGGGAAUCUACCCUUCGGUGGAGGAUAGCCCGGGGAAACCCGGAUUAAUACUGCAUACUGCCCUACGGGGGAAAGCGGGCCUCUGCUGUAAGCUCGGCCGAGGCGAUGAGCCCGCGUCCGAUUAGCUGGUUGGUGGGGUAAAGGCC
Molecule: ribosomal RNA, 209 nt
Filed under: uncultured bacterium
Lineage: Bacteria
Description: partial 16S ribosomal RNA
Rfam family: Bacterial small subunit ribosomal RNA
Source: RNAcentral